RNAcentral lists this ribosomal RNA (253 nucleotides) under uncultured bacterium. RNAcentral describes it as "partial 16S ribosomal RNA". It matches the Rfam family "Bacterial small subunit ribosomal RNA", at positions 524 to 776 of the family's 1533-position model. The record is from RNAcentral.
UACGGAGGGUGCAAGCAUUAAUCGGAUUUAUUGGGCGUAAAGGGCGCGUAGGUGGGAUUGUAAGUCGGAUGUGAAAUCCCGAGGCUCAACCUCGGAACAGCAUUCGAAACUGCAAUUCUUGAGGGUAGGCGGAGAAAAUGGAAUUCCACAAGUAGCGGUGAAAUGCGUAGAGAUGUGGAAGAACACCGGUGGCGAAGGCGAUUUUCUAGCUUAUUCCUGACACUGAGGCGCGAAAGCAAGGGGAGCAAACAGG